RNAcentral lists this ribosomal RNA (253 nucleotides) under uncultured bacterium. Its description in RNAcentral is "partial 16S ribosomal RNA". It matches the Rfam family "Bacterial small subunit ribosomal RNA", at positions 524 to 776 of the family's 1533-position model. The record is from RNAcentral.
UACGUAGGGGGCAAGCGUUGUCCGGAAUCAUUGGGCGUAAAGCGCGCGUAGGCGGCUUCGUAAGUCCGUUGUGAAAGUCAAAGGCUCAACCUUUGAAAGCCGAUGGAUACUGCGGAGCUAGAGUACGGAAGAGGCGAGUGGAAUUCCUGGUGUAGCGGUGGAAUGCGCAGAUAUCAGGAGGAACACCAAUAGCGAAGGCAGCUCGCUGGGACGUUACUGACACUGAGGCGCGAAAGCGUGGGGAGCGAACAGG